GAAUAUUGGUCAAUGGGCGAGAGCCUGAACCAGCCAUGCCGCGUGCAGGAAGACGGCCUUCUGGGUUGUAAACUGCUUUUAUCAGGGAACAAAAAGCCCAUGCGUGGGAAACUGAGUGUACCUGAAGAAUAAGCACCGGCUAACUCCGUGCCAGCCGCCGCGGUAAUACGGAGGGUGCAAGCGUUGUCCGGAUUUAUUGGGUUUAAAGGGUGCGUAGGCGGUCGAUUAAGUCAGUGGUGAAAUCCUGCAGCUCAACUGUAGAACUGCCAUUGAUACUGGUUGACUUGAGUACAGACGAGGUAGGCGGAAUUUAUGGUGUAGCGGUGAAAUGCAUAGAUACCACAAAGAACACCUAUAGCGAAGGCAGCUUACUAGACUGUAACUGACGCUGAGGCACGAAAGCGUGGGGAGCGAACAGG
Molecule: ribosomal RNA, 419 nt
Filed under: uncultured bacterium
Lineage: Bacteria
Description: bacterial SSU rRNA
Rfam family: Bacterial small subunit ribosomal RNA
Source: RNAcentral